RNAcentral lists this transfer-messenger RNA (208 nucleotides) under Sulfuricurvum sp. It matches the Rfam family "transfer-messenger RNA". Rfam says of the family: Bacterial tmRNA, also known as 10Sa RNA or SsrA, is named for its dual tRNA and mRNA-like properties. Its role is to liberate the mRNA from a stalled ribosome. To accomplish this part of the tmRNA is used as a reading frame that ends in a translation stop signal. The record is from RNAcentral. Lineage: Bacteria; Pseudomonadati; Campylobacterota; Epsilonproteobacteria; Campylobacterales; Sulfurimonadaceae.
GGGGGCGAUAUGGCUUCGACGGGAUCAAGAAGGUUUAACUUGCAUGCCGGACUGAGCAUCUCCGUUAUACGGCUCAACUUGCUUAAACGCAAACAACACUAAUUACCGUCCUGCUUACGCUGCAGCGUAAGUUUAACUUAAUUUAGGACUGCUUCUCCCUCCGAUUCUAUCUACGAGGUUUCCGGUUCGAUUCCGGACGCUUCCACCA